CUAAUACAUGCAAGUCGAGCGAACAGACGAGGAGCUUGCUCCUCUGACGUUAGCGGCGGACGGGUGAGUAACACGUGGAUAACCUACCUAUAAGACUGGGAUAACUUCGGGAAACCGGAGCUAAUACCGGAUAAUAUAUUGAACCGCAUGGUUCAAUAGUGAAAGACGGUUUUGCUGUCACUUAUAGAUGGAUCCGCGCCGCAUUAGCUAGUUGGUAAGGUAACGGCUUACCAAGGCAACGAUGCGUAGCCGACCUGAGAGGGUGAUCGGCCACACUGGAACUGAGACACGGUCCAGACUCCUACGGGAGGCAGCAGUAGGGAAUCUUCCGCAAUGGGCGAAAGCCUGACGGAGCAACGCCGCGUGAGUGAUGAAGGUCUUCGGAUCGUAAAACUCUGUUAUUAGGGAAGAACAAAUGUGUAAGUAACUAUGCACGUCUUGACGGUACCUAAUCAGAAAGCCACGGCUAACUACGUGCCAGCAGCCGCGGUAAUACGUAGGUGGCAAGCGUUAUCCGGAAUUAUUGGGCGUAAAGCGCGCGUAGGCGGUUUUUUAAGUCUGAUGUGAAAGCCCACGGCUCAACCGUGGAGGGUCAUUGGAAACUGGAAAACUUGAGUGCAGAAGAGGAAAGUGGAAUUCCAUGUGUAGCGGUGAAAUGCGCAGAGAUAUGGAGGAACACCAGUGGCGAAGGCGACUUUCUGGUCUGUAACUGACGCUGAUGUGCGAAAGCGUGGGGAUCAAACAGG
Molecule: ribosomal RNA, 746 nt
Filed under: uncultured Staphylococcus sp.
Lineage: Bacteria; Bacillati; Bacillota; Bacilli; Caryophanales; Staphylococcaceae
Description: bacterial SSU rRNA
Rfam family: Bacterial small subunit ribosomal RNA
Source: RNAcentral